UUCUGCCAUGGUGGAUUGAGGGAUCUCAGGAGGCAGCUUGACUCCAUUUGAAUCCCAUUCCCUGCUAUUAGCUCAGCCCAGACAAAGGAAUAACUUACUGCAGGAAAUAUUCAAAUAAAGUCCCACAAUCCACUCUCACCGCCGUUUCCUCCCCACUCCUUUUCAGAAAGGUGAGGGCUGCGGCUUAAAAG
This 191-nucleotide long non-coding RNA is filed under the name Oryzias sinensis (Chinese medaka). RNAcentral describes it as "lncRNA (ENSOSIG00000001100.1)". Lineage: Eukaryota; Metazoa; Chordata; Actinopteri; Beloniformes; Adrianichthyidae. The record is from RNAcentral.